GACGAACGCUGGCGGCGUGCUUAACACAUGCAAGUCGAACGGAAAGGCCCUGCUUUUGUGGGGUGCUCGAGUGGCGAACGUGUGAGUAACACGUGAGUAACCUGCCCUUGACUUUUGGAUAACUUCAGGAAACUGGGGCUAAUACCGGAUCGGAGCUCCUGCUGCAUUUUUGGGUUUGGAAAGUUUCGGCGGUUUGGGAUGGACUCGCGGCUUAUCAGCUUGUUGGUGGGGUAGUGGCUUACCAAGGCUUUGACGUGUAGCCGGCCUGAGAGGGUGACCGGCAACAUUGGGAAUGAGAAACGGCCCAGACACCUACGGGAGGAAGCAGUGGAGAAUAUAGAAGAAUAGGAGGAAGACUGAAGCAGCAACACAGCGGGCGGGAUGAAGGCCUACGGGUUGUAAACCGCUUACGCCUGUGACGAAGCGUGAGUGAAGGUAAUGGGUAAAGAAGCACCGGCUAACUACGUG
Molecule: ribosomal RNA, 468 nt
Filed under: uncultured bacterium
Lineage: Bacteria
Description: partial 16S ribosomal RNA
Rfam family: Bacterial small subunit ribosomal RNA
Source: RNAcentral